CUUGAACAAUGGGGCUUAUUAGAAGAAAAGAGAUAUUGAUAAGAGAUAUCGAUAGUGAUGCUGACUUUACCAAAAAGAUAAUGUUUGAAAUUGCAAAUUUCAUUAUCCACAAAUGCAUAUCAUAAUAUCUAUGUGCCACUAAUACGAACCAAAAUUACGUACAUAACAGAAACAAUGAAUUUAGAAACAAAUGUUUGUAUUAUUACUUAAUUAAAAGGAAAAUAUUACAGAGAUUAAAUCCCUAUAAUUCCAGAGCUAAGCUCCUCAGAGAAGAGUGGUUCUCUCUCUGCCCAAAACCUUUCGGUUCCUAACCGAAAAGAUUCUCAAUAAUCCCUCUCUUUCCCUUACCUCAUAAAACUUCAUUAUGCUCUUUAUUACAAUAAUAGCCAUUUUUCUAUAUUACUCAUACUUGAUCUCUAUCAAUACCCAACCCUUCAAAACAACCUUGUCCUCAAGGUUGGACAUGAUUCCUAUUACUCUUCAUGCUGCUAGGUGAUCCUUCAAUUCACUCGAGAAACACAGGUCUGGAUGACUCCUGACUCGUACAAUAAUGGCCCUUGAUUAUUAGACAUGUUCACACCAUUUCAACAUCAAUUUUAGAAUGGUAACAGGUUGUUCAUUCAAAAAGCUGAGGAUUGGAGGGUUUAACAAGGCUUAUUGGAAGUCUAUUCGGUGGUUAUCUGUGUUAGACUCAAGGAAGCUUUUGUAUAGGAUUAUGUCCAGGGACGAACCCAAGGGGGGCAAGCAAGGGCUCCAACCCCCCCUCCCCCAUGCAAAUAUGUUUAAUAUGUAUAACUUUUAAUGUAUAUGAGUUGCUAAUGACACCUCUUAAUUUUCCCA
Long non-coding RNA from Trifolium pratense (red clover), 840 nucleotides. RefSeq lists it as uncharacterized. The transcript has 2 exons. Lineage: Eukaryota; Viridiplantae; Streptophyta; Magnoliopsida; Fabales; Fabaceae. The record is from RefSeq and is a predicted model, not a curated record.